GGCGACCGGCGCACGGGUGCGUAACGCGUAUGCAACCUACCCUUUACAGGAGGAUAGCCCAGGGAAACUUGGAUUAAUACUCCAUGGUUUUGAGAUUUCACCUGAUAUUUCAAAUAAAGUUUCGACGGUAAAGGAUGGGCAUGCGUGACAUUAGCUAGAUGGUGAGGUAACGGCUCACCAUGGCGACGAUGUCUAGGGGUUCUGAGAGGAUUAUCCCCCACACUGGUACUGAGACACGGACCAGACUCC
This 249-nucleotide ribosomal RNA is filed under the name uncultured bacterium. RNAcentral describes it as "partial 16S ribosomal RNA". It matches the Rfam family "Bacterial small subunit ribosomal RNA", at positions 90 to 339 of the family's 1533-position model. The record is from RNAcentral.